This 398-nucleotide RNase P RNA is filed under the name Isoptericola variabilis 225. Its description in RNAcentral is "Bacterial RNase P class A". It matches the Rfam family "Bacterial RNase P class A". From Rfam's summary of the family: Ribonuclease P (RNase P) is a ubiquitous endoribonuclease, found in archaea, bacteria and eukarya as well as chloroplasts and mitochondria. Its best characterised activity is the generation of mature 5'-ends of tRNAs by cleaving the 5'-leader elements of precursor-tRNAs. Lineage: Bacteria; Bacillati; Actinomycetota; Actinomycetes; Micrococcales; Promicromonosporaceae. RNAcentral also lists the same sequence under 1 other name. The record is from Rfam by way of RNAcentral.
CGAGUCGGUCGGACGGUCGCGUCGCCGUCGAACCCGGGCAACCGGAAGCGCCGGCGCCGAGGAACGUCCGGGCUCCGAAGGGCAAGGUGGUGGCUAACGGCCACCCGGGGUGACCCGCGGGACAGUGCCACAGAAAGCAGACCGCCGGCGUCGGGCGACCGGCGUCGGUAAGGGUGAAACGGUGGUGUAAGAGACCACCAGCGCAUCCGGUGACGGGUGCGGCUCGGUAAACCCCACCUGGAGCAAGGUCAGACAGGGAGCGUUCGAGGGCGGCCCGCCCGAGCUCCCGGGUAGACCGCUCGAGGCCUGCGGCAACGCAGGCCCUAGAUGGAUGACCGUCACCCGCGUCCGGGCAACCGGCGCGGGCACAGAACCCGGCGUACAGACCGACUCGUCCG